This 563-nucleotide ribosomal RNA is filed under the name Saturnispora sp. UFMG-IA38.2. RNAcentral describes it as "eukaryotic LSU rRNA". It matches the Rfam family "Eukaryotic large subunit ribosomal RNA", at positions 37 to 655 of the family's 3401-position model. The record is from RNAcentral. Lineage: Eukaryota; Fungi; Ascomycota; Pichiomycetes; Pichiales; Pichiaceae.
UGCAUAUCAAUAAGCGGAGGAAAAGAAACCAACCGGGAUUGCCUCAGUAGCGGCGAGUGAAGCGGCAAAAGCUCCACUUUGAAAGCGCUUCGGCGCGUUGUAGUGCGGGCCGGUCUGUGGAUGGCGAGCGACUAAGUCCCCUGGAACGGGGCACCGCAGAGGGUGAGAGUCCCGUGCGUCGCUUCAAGUCCUUUCAGUCCGGUCCUUGGAGUCGAGUUGUUUGGGAAUGCAGCUCUAAGUGGGUGGUAAAUUCCAUCUAAGGCUAAAUAUUGGCGAGAGACCGAUAGCGAACAAGUACAGUGAUGGAAAGAUGAAAAGCACUUUGAAAAGAGAGUGAAACAGUACGUGAAAUUGUUGAAAGGGAAGGGUAUUUGGCCCGACAUGGGUCCUGGCACCGUUGCUCCUUGUGGGCGGCGCUCUGCAGGGGCCUGGGCCAGCGUGGGUUUUGCGGGAGAUAUAAUAGUCGCUGAACCACAAUGUGGGGAUGCGUCUGAUGUCUCCUCGCGGGACCGAGGACCGCCGUUUGGAGGACGCUGGCAUAACGGCCAAAUACCGCCCGUUUG